This is a long non-coding RNA of Salarias fasciatus (jewelled blenny), 1345 nucleotides long. RefSeq lists it as uncharacterized. Lineage: Eukaryota; Metazoa; Chordata; Actinopteri; Blenniiformes; Blenniidae. The transcript has 3 exons. The record is from RefSeq and is a predicted model, not a curated record.
UGUGUCAGAGAAUCAGGAGCAGCAGCAGUCGGUCUGUUCUCACAUUUAAGAUCUACAAUGAACCAGAAACCACCGAGUUCUGAACUCAACUGGAACUUUGUGGUCUCUCUUUGUGGCGGGAAGACUGACACAAAUCUCUUUCUUCACUGGAAGUUCCUUCGAUGAGACGCAGCACUUCACACCUGGAACUCAGUCAACAUGUUGAAACUCGCUCUGCUGUGUUUCUGUCACUGCUGCUGUUGGACAUCGGUGCAGCUGGAGGUUCAGUCCAGACAAUCAUCUCAGCUGUUGGACAAAAUGUCACUCUGCCGUGUCAAGUUCUAAACUACAGUGGAACCUUCGACGCUGUAAUGUGGAACAGACCAGACCUGGAGAAGAACCACUAUGUUUUUUUAUUCAAAGACGGACACAUCAAUCCAGAAGACCAGCAUGAUAUUUACAAGAACCGAGUGGAGCUGAAGGACAGAACGAUGAAGGACGGAGACGUGAGUCUGAUAGUGAAGGAAGUGACCUUCAAUGACAGUGGGAUAUUUCAGUGUUUCAUCCAGAGAGAAACCAAUAAUACGGACACAGACAACAAUGAGCUGAUCACCUCCAUCUCUCUCUCAGUGGUUCCUCCAGGAGACCCAGAAGAACAAGGAGGGAGUGGAGGACAUGUUGGUCUGAGUGCUGGUCUGACUGUCGCUGCUCUGGUUGUUGUUGGUAUUUUUGUUGUUGUGAUGUUUCUAAGACACCAGAAGAAGAAGAAGAAGAAGAAGAAGAACUCUCCUCCUCCUGCUGCUGCUGCUCCAGAACAAGAUAUGAUGUUGCGUCAGGUUAACACUUAGAGACACACUAGAGUCUCUCCUGACUCUCCUCUCCUCCACGUUAGAAAAUAUUCUCAUGUUGGAUCUUUAAAAACUGGACCUGCUGUUGACUCUGAUGAGAAACAUGUUUCUCAGUCUGUGGACUCUUCCGCCCCCUGCUGGUGACUUAGGAGAACUGCUGCACAUAUUUUUUUUUAAACUGACAUUAUUGUGACUGUUACAUUUUUUUUUACUCCUUUUUGGUUCUUACAAACAUACCGAUUUUAAAUGGAUAAGAAAAUUGUUUAGAAAUUCAACAGUUGUUCAGUUCAUUUUAAUAUUUUUCUUUUUUGUUUUAUAGCUUCACAUUUUAGAGAAAAAGAUUGAAAAAUCAUCUAAAUCCUUGUGAAGGAGAACACUGAGAAAAAAUAACUAUGGCAGCACGUGUCUGUACACAUUCACAAUGCCACAGUGUCUUGUAAAUUACGUGACUUCGUAAAAAAAAGAAAAAAAAACACUGAGUCAGCAGCCAAUCAGGUGUCAGGGAUCCUGUCACAUCA